RNA transcript from Lathyrus oleraceus (garden pea), 3258 nucleotides. It is a transcript of the gene named probable galactinol--sucrose galactosyltransferase 2, with no coding region annotated. NCBI's taxonomy places the organism in Eukaryota, Viridiplantae, Streptophyta, Magnoliopsida, Fabales, Fabaceae. The transcript has 16 exons. The record is from RefSeq and is a predicted model, not a curated record.
UAAAAAAACAUCGGUGAUUAAUGCUAUUUACGUUCAUAUCUAUCACUGUAACAAAAGAUAUGUAUGAAUUAAUAGAAAAUUGUUCCCUCGUGAAUAAAGUAACCUUCCUUCCACACCAGCUCAAACUGUUCACUUCAUCAUUCAUCAACGCACCUAACAAAUUCCAUUCUCCAAUUACAUUCUCAACUUCCUUUUGGUGUUGCAUCUCUCAACUUCGUUCAUCCUUUGAUUCCCAACAUGACGAAUACGGUUGCGCCUACGGUAAAGAACGAGUGUCUUAUGGUGAAAGGUCACGUGAUUUUGACGCGUGUCCCCGAAAACAUUGUGGUUUCUCCCGUUUCCACAGGGUCCGCUUUUUUAGGUGCAACUUCCCCAAUUCCAAGCUCCCGUCAUGUCUUCAUUCUCGGCACUCUCCGGGGACAUAGAUUGUUAUCUUUAUUUAGAGUCAAAAUAUGGUGGAUGAUACCUCGAGUAGGAAGAUCCGCGAGCGAUGUUCCAAUGGAAACUCAAUUGCUGCUAGUAGAAGCAAGAGAAGAGACUGAAAUUAAACCAGAUUUUUCUUCUGAUUCUCAAGAGCAUGAACAAGAGAAUAUUUCCUACAUUCUCUUCUUGCCUGUGUUGGAUGGAGCAUUUCGCGCAACUUUGCAAGGAACUGCAUUGAACGAGCUUCAGUUCUGCGUUGAAAGUGGAGAUGCCUGUGUUCAAACUUGUCAAUCACUUGAGGCAGUAUUUGUAAAUUCAGGCGACAAUCCAUUUGAGCUAAUCAAGGAUUCUAUCAAGAUAUUAGAGAAACACAAAGGAACUUUCUGUCAUCUUGAAAACAAGGAGAUUCCUGUACAUCUUGAUUGGUUUGGUUGGUGCACUUGGGAUGCAUUUUACACUCAAGUAAAUCCACAAGGAAUAAAAGAGGGGAUUCAAAGUCUCUCAAGUGGAGGUUUUACACCAAAGUUUGUCAUUGUUGAUGAUGGAUGGCAAGAGGCGCUCAACGAGUUUCACAAAGAAGGCGAACCACUAGUUGAAGGAACUCAGUUUGCAACAAGACUUAUAGACAUUAAGGAAAAUAGAAAGUUCAGCAGUGCUGGUUCCAACAAUUCUUGCAACAAUCUCCAUGAUUUUGUUCAUUCUAUCAAACAUAAUUUGAGUGUAAAAUACGUUUACAUGUGGCAUGCUUUAGCUGGUUAUUGGGGAGGAGUGCUCCCAUCUUCAGAUGCGAUGAAAAAGUAUAAUCCGAAGCUUGCAUAUCCUAUUCAGUCACCUAGUAACUUAGGGAACCUAAGAGAUAUUGCCAUGGACAGCUUGGAAAAAUAUGGAGUUGGAAUCAUAGAUCCAUCAAAAUUAUAUGAAUUUUACAACGACUAUCACGAAUAUCUUGCUAGCUGUGGCGUCGAUGGAGUCAAGGUAGAUGUCCAAAAUUUGAUAGAAACUUUGGGUUCAGGAUACGGUGGACGUGUUUCAUUAACCAAACAGUAUCAAGAAGCAUUAGAGACAUCAAUUGCAAGGAACUUUAAGCGCAAUAACCUCAUUUGUUGCAUGUGUCACAACUCUGAUUCAAUUUACAGUUCAAAGAAGAGUGCAGUAGCAAGAGCUUCCGAGGAUUUCAUGCCAAGGGAACCAGCAUUUCAAACCUUACACAUUGCGUCGGUAGCUUUUAACAGCCUUCUUCUAGGAGAGAUAUUUGUACCAGACUGGGAUAUGUUCCAAAGCAAGCACGAGACAGCUGAGUUUCAUGCUGCAGCAAGAGCAAUAGGUGGUUGUGCAGUAUAUGUUAGUGAUAAGCCAGGAAAUCAUGAUUUUAAAAUCCUGAAGAAACUAGUACUGCCUAAUGGAUCAGUCUUGAGAGCAAGAUAUGCAGGUCGUCCUACUCGAGAUUGUUUGUUUCAAGAUCCUGUAAUGGAUGGUAAAAGUCUGCUGAAAAUUUGGAACUUGAACAAGCUGACUGGGGUGAUAGGUGUCUUUAAUUGCCAAGGAGCAGGAUGCUGGCCAAUGAAAUCUUCAGAAGUCACACCGACACACUUAACCAUUUCAGAGAAAAUUAGACCACUUGAUGUUGAGUUACUUGAAGACAUAGCAGGUGAAAAAUGGAAUGGAGACUGCAUAUUAUAUGCCUUCAAUGCAGGCUUGCUUUCCAAGCUACCAAGUCGAGGAAAACUACAAGUGUCCUUGGAGACUCUUCAAUGUGAAGUAUACACAGUAUCUCCAAUCCGGGGUCUAUUUCCAACAAAGUGGCAUCAGAGCUUCAAGGUCCUAAAAAUGGCGAAUGGAGGUUUCCCUUUUCAAAUGCCGAUGCUCACAAAGAACAACUAUGACAAUUGGAGUAUCAAGAUGAAGGCGCUACUAGGAGCUCAAGAUGUGUGGGAUAUUGUUGAGAAAGACUUCAAUGAGCAAGAUGAAGCCUCGCUAAGCCAAGGGGUAAAGGAGACAUUGAGGGAGUCAAGAAAGAGAGACAAGAAAGCUCUCUUCCUCAUUUAUCAAUCGGUGGAUGAAGAUACAUUUGAGAAGAUCUCCAACGCAACGACGGCCAAAGAAGCAUGGGACAAACUUCAAACUUGCAACAAAGGAGUGGAACAGGUGUUUGGUCAUGUACAAUUUGCACCAAUUGGAUUGCUUGACAUGUACAAUUCCGGAGGAGCUGUAGAAAAACUGUCCUGUACAAUGGAUGUUGCAGAUUGCAUAACAGUAAAAAUCCAAAGCAGGGGAGGUGGCCGUUUUGGAGCAUACUCUAAUGAGAGACCGAAAAGUUGCUUGGUGGACAUGAAGGAGGAGGAGUUUUGUUACAACUCUGAAGAUGAAUUACUGACAAUUAAACUUGAUGGUGAAGGCAAUUCAAAGGACAUAGAAUUUGUAUUCCAAGAGUUAAGGUUAUACAUAAAAAGACUACCGAUAAUCAGAGUCUUGUUGGCCAUGGAUAUGUAACCAUGAUCACAGUUAAAGAAGCCGAGUCUGCUAUAGACAAGUUCAACGGCUACGAUUAUGAUGGAAGCUUGUUGAGUGUGAAUAAGGCUAAUACCAGAAGAUCUAGGCCUGAGCAACCACGUAUAUCUGAACCUGUCACAAAAGCUUAUGUAGGUAACUUGCCAUGGGAAGUUGAUAAUACUAAGCUUGAGAAAAAUUUCAGUGAACAUGGUAAGGUUGUGAGUGCAUGACCAUCAAUUAUGGGCGGACUUUAUUCCCCAUCACUCUUCUAUCAUCUUGAUAUGAAAGAUCAGAAGAUGUUUAAAAAAAUUUAAAUAAUACUAAUAGUUUGAUUUGAAGGAAAAA